RNAcentral lists this small RNA (809 nucleotides) under Malus domestica (apple). RNAcentral's name for it is "sRNA MD05G0067000". Lineage: Eukaryota; Viridiplantae; Streptophyta; Magnoliopsida; Rosales; Rosaceae. The record is from RNAcentral.
AAAUUUCAUUUAUUGGUUUAUCUCAUCCCAUCAGCUAGUAACCGCAAAACUCCCCCUCCCCAAAUCGUGAGAAAUUAAACUGAUCUCUGUCACUCUCCUCUCUCUUAACAUUUCACCAACAACAAUCAUUUUUCAGUUUUCUCCUUUCUUCCUCGUCCACCUUGAGUCCUCAGUUUGUGAAGGGAAUUUAUGGAAAUUGACAUUGAUGAGCUUCUGGGUCGUAACCGGCCGGUGAGCAUUCCGACGAAAAGGGCGAUUUACAUGUGAGGAUAUUGCAUGUCCGAGCAGACGGGUCGGAAUGGGAAGGAGUAGCAGUUAAGGAUCCCGAAGUAGCUCUCCAGGGCUUUUUAGGUGCAUGGCCGGGGCUAAUUGGUGGUGGCUGGACAUUGCUUGCGAUCGCGAGCACACCGCCUCUGCUGCCUCAGAUAGGUUGCUUUUCACUUGGGGACGAGUUGUCUACCUAAGUGUUAUAUGGAAAAGGAGAAUUAAAGAUGAUUCCUUUGCUGGAUGUUGAACAAGUAUUGGUGGUUGGUGGUUCUACUUCAUGAGGGUUUAUAAUUCAAAUAUCAACUAUGCAAAUUUGAAUUGUGAUUGGCUUGAAGAAAGGAUUGCAGAGAAGAUGAAUAUCAUUGGAGGACCAAGGAUGGAACCAGGACUUGAGUUUGUUUUAGAGUGAAACAAAUUCUACAUGUUUUGGUACACUACUGUAGCAUAACUCAGUGAUUUGGUUUUCUUAAUAUAACUACUCAUUUUGUUGUUAGCUUUUAGUUUAAUAUUUGAAUAUGUGAAUUUUUAUAAAGUAAAUAUGC